This 419-nucleotide ribosomal RNA is filed under the name bacterium. RNAcentral describes it as "partial 16S ribosomal RNA". It matches the Rfam family "Bacterial small subunit ribosomal RNA", at positions 355 to 776 of the family's 1533-position model. The record is from RNAcentral.
UGGGGGAUAUUGCACAAUGGGCGCAAGCCUGAUGCAGCGACGCCGCGUGGGGGAUGAAGGCCUUCGGGUUGUAAACUUCUUUUGCUCUGAACAAGGCGCACUUUGGGGUGUGUUGAGUGUAGGGGUUGAUUAGCGCCGGCUAACUACGUGCCAGCAGCCACGGUAAUACGUAGGGCGCGAGCGUUGUCCGGAAUUAUUGGGCGUAAAGGGCUUGUAGGUGGCUGGUUGCGUCUGUCGUGAAAGCUCAUGGCUUAACUGUGGGUUUGCGGUGGGUACGGGCUGGCUUGAGUGCAGUAGGGGAGGCUGGAAUUCCUGGUGUAGCGGUGGAAUGCGCAGAUAUCAGGAGGAAUACCGGUGGCGAAGGCGGGUCUCUGGGCUGUUACUGACACUGAGGAGCGAAAGCAUGGGGAGCGAACAGG